UACGUAGGGGGCAAGCGUUGUCCGGAAUCAUUGGGCGUAAAGCGCGUGUAGGCGGCUCGGUAAGUCUGCUGUGAAAGUCCAGGGCUCAACCCUGGGAUGCCGGUGGAUACUGUCGAGCUCGAGUCCGGAAGAGGCGAGUGGAAUUCCUGGUGUAGCGGUGAAAUGCGCAGAUAUCAGGAGGAACACCAAUGGCGAAGGCAGCUCGCUGGGACGUGACUGACGCUCAGGUGCGAAAGCUAGGGGAGCGAACAGG
This 253-nucleotide ribosomal RNA is filed under the name uncultured bacterium. RNAcentral's name for it is "partial 16S ribosomal RNA". It matches the Rfam family "Bacterial small subunit ribosomal RNA", at positions 524 to 776 of the family's 1533-position model. The record is from RNAcentral.